GUCGGCGGGGUAACGGCCCACCGAGCCUACGACGGGUAGCCGGCCUGAGAGGGCGACCGGCCACAUUGGGACUGAGAUACGGCCCACACUCCUACGGGAGGCAGCAGUGGGGAAUAUUGCACAAUGGGCGCAAGCCUGAUGCAGCGACGCCGCGUGCGGGAUGACGGCCUUCGGGUUGUAAACCGCUUUUGAUCGGGAGCAAGCCUUCGGGUGAGUGUACCUUUCGAAUAAGCACCGGCUAACUACGUGCCAGCAGCCGCGGUAAUACGUAGGGUGCAAGCGUUAUCCGGAAUUAUUGGGCGCAAAGGGCUCGUACGCGGUUCGUC
RNAcentral lists this ribosomal RNA (326 nucleotides) under uncultured Bifidobacterium sp. RNAcentral describes it as "bacterial SSU rRNA". It matches the Rfam family "Bacterial small subunit ribosomal RNA", at positions 248 to 584 of the family's 1533-position model. The record is from RNAcentral. Lineage: Bacteria; Bacillati; Actinomycetota; Actinomycetes; Bifidobacteriales; Bifidobacteriaceae.